AAGACUAUACUUUCAGGGAUCAUUUCUAUAGUUUCUGACUUGAGAAAUGUGUUUCUAACUUGUAUGGUCUCGCUAACCACGAUGAUGAGUCGUGAUGCUCUCUUCUGAGCGUGAAGCGGAUAGGAAGUAACGAUUCAGUUCGUACGCUUACUAUCAUUGAUGAUCGUUCUUUAUUCCGUUACGGAGUAAUGAGGAAGGGAGUAUGAUCAGAGUGGUU
This is a small nucleolar RNA of Fundulus heteroclitus (mummichog), 217 nucleotides long. NCBI's taxonomy places the organism in Eukaryota, Metazoa, Chordata, Actinopteri, Cyprinodontiformes, Fundulidae. The record is from Ensembl.